RNAcentral lists this transfer RNA (84 nucleotides) under Talaromyces rugulosus. RNAcentral's name for it is "Penicillium rugulosum tRNA". It matches the Rfam family "tRNA". From Rfam's summary of the family: Transfer RNA (tRNA) molecules are approximately 80 nucleotides in length. Their secondary structure includes four short double-helical elements and three loops (D, anti-codon, and T loops). Further hydrogen bonds mediate the characteristic L-shaped molecular structure. tRNAs have two regions of fundamental functional importance: the anti-codon, which is responsible for specific mRNA codon recognition, and the 3' end, to which the tRNAs corresponding amino acid is attached (by aminoacyl-tRNA synthetases). tRNAs cope with the degeneracy of the genetic code in two manners: having more than one tRNA (with a specific anti-codon) for a particular amino acid; and 'wobble' base-pairing, i.e. permitting non-standard base-pairing at the 3rd anti-codon position. Lineage: Eukaryota; Fungi; Ascomycota; Eurotiomycetes; Eurotiales; Trichocomaceae. The record is from Rfam by way of RNAcentral.
GUCACUAUAGCUCAGCGGUAGAGCUUUCGACUGCAGUGACUUCAUGCCUUCGAAGGGUCCUCGUUUCGAUUACGAGUGGUGACU